Molecule: transfer RNA, 84 nt
Filed under: Mollicutes bacterium
Lineage: Bacteria; Bacillati; Mycoplasmatota; Mollicutes
Description: tRNA-Tyr
Rfam family: tRNA
About the family: Transfer RNA (tRNA) molecules are approximately 80 nucleotides in length. Their secondary structure includes four short double-helical elements and three loops (D, anti-codon, and T loops).
Source: RNAcentral
GGAAGGUUAGCGAAGUGGUCAAACGCGUCUGACUGUAAAUCAGAUCCUUAGGGUUCAGUGGUUCAAAUCCACUACCUUCCACCA